CAGUCGCCACGGGAAUACGUAGGGUGCAAGCGUUAAUCGGAAUUACUGGGCGUAAAGCGUGCGCAGGCGGUUCGCUAAGACAGAUGUGAAAUCCCCGGGCUUAACCUGGGAACUGCAUUUGUGACUGGCGGGCUAGAGUAUGGCAGAGGGGGGUAGAAUUCCACGUGUAGCAGUGAAAUGCGUAGAGAUGUGGAGGAAUACCGAUGGCGGAGGCAGCCCCCUGGGCCAAUACUGACGCCCAUGCACGAAAGCGUGGGGAGCAAACAGGAUUAGAUACCCGCGUAGUCCCUGUCUCUUAUAC
RNAcentral lists this ribosomal RNA (301 nucleotides) under uncultured bacterium. RNAcentral describes it as "partial 16S ribosomal RNA". It matches the Rfam family "Bacterial small subunit ribosomal RNA", at positions 509 to 807 of the family's 1533-position model. The record is from RNAcentral.